GAUGAACGCUGGCGGCGUGCCUAACACAUGCAAGUCGAACGAGGUAUUUUGAUUGAAGUUUUCGGAUGGAUUUCAAGAUACCGAGUGGCGGACGGGUGAGUAACGCGUGGGUAACCUGCCUCAUACAGGGGGAUAACGGUUAGAAAUGACUGCUAAUACCGCAUAAGCGCACAGUACCGCAUGGUACGGUGUGAAAAACUCCGGUGGUAUGAGAUGGACCCGCGUCUGAUUAGCUAGUUGGUGGGGUAACGGCCCACCAAGGCGACGAUCAGUAGCCGACCUGAGAGGGUGAUCGGCCACAUUGGGACUGAGACACGGCCCAGACUCCUACGGGAGGCAGCAGUGGGGGAUAUUGCACAAUGGAGGAAACUCUGAUGGAGCGACGCCGCGUGAGUGAAGAAGUAUUUCGGUACGUAAAGCUCUAUCAGCAGGGAAGAAAAUGACGGUACCUGACUAAGAAGCCCCGGCUAACUACGUGCCAGCCGCCGCAGUAA
This 494-nucleotide ribosomal RNA is filed under the name uncultured bacterium. RNAcentral's name for it is "partial 16S ribosomal RNA". It matches the Rfam family "Bacterial small subunit ribosomal RNA", at positions 28 to 523 of the family's 1533-position model. The record is from RNAcentral.